GCACCCGUAGCUCAGCUGGAUAGAGUACCAUCCUCCGAAGGUGGAGGCCAUACGUUCGAAUCGUGUCGGGUGCGCCA
This 77-nucleotide transfer RNA is filed under the name Bradyrhizobium arachidis. Its description in RNAcentral is "tRNA-Arg". It matches the Rfam family "tRNA". Rfam says of the family: Transfer RNA (tRNA) molecules are approximately 80 nucleotides in length. Their secondary structure includes four short double-helical elements and three loops (D, anti-codon, and T loops). Further hydrogen bonds mediate the characteristic L-shaped molecular structure. tRNAs have two regions of fundamental functional importance: the anti-codon, which is responsible for specific mRNA codon recognition, and the 3' end, to which the tRNAs corresponding amino acid is attached (by aminoacyl-tRNA synthetases). tRNAs cope with the degeneracy of the genetic code in two manners: having more than one tRNA (with a specific anti-codon) for a particular amino acid; and 'wobble' base-pairing, i.e. permitting non-standard base-pairing at the 3rd anti-codon position. Lineage: Bacteria; Pseudomonadati; Pseudomonadota; Alphaproteobacteria; Hyphomicrobiales; Nitrobacteraceae. The record is from RNAcentral.